GUGGGGAAUCUUGCGCAAUGGGCGAAAGCCUGACGCAGCCAUGCCGCGUGGAUGAUGAAGGUCUUAGGAUUGUAAAAUCCUUUCACCGGUGAAGAUAAUGACUGUAGCCGGAGAAGAAGCCCCGGCUAACUUCGUGCCAGCAGCCGCGGUAAUACGAAGGGGGCUAGCGUUGCUCGGAAUUACUGGGCGUAAAGGGAGCGUAGGCGGACAUUUAAGUCAGGGGUGAAAUCCCGAGGCUCAACUUCGGAACUGCCUUUGAUACUGGGUGUCUUGAGUGUGAGAGAAGUGAGUGGAACUCCGAGUGUAGAGGUGAAAUUCGUAGAUAUUCGGAAGAACACCAGUGGCGAAGGCGACUCACUGGCUCAUUACUGACGCUGAGGCUCGAAAGCGUGGAGAGCAAACAGGAUUAGAAACCCGAGUAGUCC
This 425-nucleotide ribosomal RNA is filed under the name uncultured bacterium. Its description in RNAcentral is "partial 16S ribosomal RNA". It matches the Rfam family "Bacterial small subunit ribosomal RNA", at positions 354 to 796 of the family's 1533-position model. The record is from RNAcentral.